GUGUGUGUGUGUGUGUGCGCGCGCAUGUCAAAGUUGCAGGGCUCUAAAGCAUGUGGCAUUUGGUCCAGACUGAAGACAAUUACCAGAAUACACUUCUGAUUCCAGCACAGAGCCUUAAGGUUAAUCGCUUGUGACUAAAUGUCACCUGUUUUAACCGGGACAUACUUGGAAAAAUAUCAGCAAGGAAAGUGAAUGAGAAAUGCUUUCCCAGGAGUGAGGAAGACACUUGACUCCCAGUUGCUCGUAAAAAAUGCUCAUUAGCCAAAAGAAGACAACUGACAUGAAUGUGUGCAAAUGUAUAAACAGGGAAUUGUUGCAUGUGAAAAAUGUGGACAUUAUACUUUGCAAACUGUG
This is a long non-coding RNA of Micropterus dolomieu (smallmouth bass), 354 nucleotides long. RefSeq lists it as uncharacterized. NCBI's taxonomy places the organism in Eukaryota, Metazoa, Chordata, Actinopteri, Centrarchiformes, Centrarchidae. The transcript has 2 exons. The record is from RefSeq and is a predicted model, not a curated record.